Molecule: long non-coding RNA, 333 nt
Organism: Plodia interpunctella (Indianmeal moth)
Lineage: Eukaryota; Metazoa; Arthropoda; Insecta; Lepidoptera; Pyralidae
Exons: 2
Source: RefSeq, a predicted model, not a curated record
AGGUAAAAGAAAGUUUAAAUCGGGGAAGAAGAGAGUGGCAGACAUGUCUGAGGAAGAAAUUUUGGAACAGAGAGCGAGAUGGAGAAAUGAGAAAAGAAAAAAGAGAGCACGGGAAGGUAAAAGAAAGUAUACAAGAAGGCUACCGAUUGAAGAGAUUUUUAAAGUUCAAAGGAAAAAAUCGCUAAAGAAGAGUGUUGCAGACAUGUCUGAGGACGAAAUUAUGGAACAGAGAGCAAGAUGGAGAGAUGAGAAAAGACAGAGACGAGCUGCUGAAGCACGGGAUGAUGUUUUAUAUAUUAUUGAAUGCACUUAAACGAUAUAUAUAUAUAUAUA